CCUACGGGCGGCAGCAGUGGGGAAUAUUGCACAAUGGGGGAAACCCUGAUGCAGCGACGCCGCGUGAGUGAAGAAGCGUUUCGGCGCGUAAAGCUCUGUCAGCGGGGAAGAAACACGGUUCGCGAGAGCCACGGACGGUACCCGACCAAGAAGCCCCGGCUAACUACGUGCCAGCAGCCGCGGUAAUACGUAGGGGGCAAGCGUUAUCCGGAUUCACUGGGGGUAAAGGGAGCGUAGACGGCGAGACAAGUCUGGAGUGAAAGGCCGGGGCCCAACCCCGGGACUGCUCUGGAAACUGCCUGGCUGGAGUACAGGAGAGGUAAGGGGAAUUCCUAGUGUAGCGGUGAAAUGCGUAGAUAUUAGGAGGAACACCAGUGGCGAAGGCGGCUUACUGGACUGUAACUGACGUUGAGGCUCGAAAGCGUGGGGAGCAAACAGGAUUAGAUACCCCGGUAGUC
RNAcentral lists this ribosomal RNA (458 nucleotides) under uncultured bacterium. RNAcentral's name for it is "partial 16S ribosomal RNA". It matches the Rfam family "Bacterial small subunit ribosomal RNA", at positions 338 to 795 of the family's 1533-position model. The record is from RNAcentral.